GAACCUGUGGGGAGAGAAGGUGGGUGAGUUUGCCCCAAUCCCCUCCAUAGCUGGGUGCCACCCUGCUCCCUCCUGCAGCUGCUUUUGGGUGUCUGCAGCUCCACAGACCCUCACAGCAAGACAAACUGGGAUCCCACACCACAUCAACCUACCCCAGGAAACGCAGUCUUCUCCCAGGAGUUUCAGGUAUCCAGUGUUCCUCCGGCCAUGCCUUGCUGAAGGAACAAAACUGCCUGUGCUGGAGGUAAAAAUACUUGCUGAUGCUAAACCUCGAGUUGGUGAGUCUCUGCUGAGCUGCAUCAUCAUAGUCUUCUAGGAGAAAUGUUAAUUCCCUUUUAAAAUUAAGGAGAGGAAAAGCAAACAGCAACUAAAUCCAAGAACAGGUAGACAACUUAGCUCCAGGAUUUUGCACUGCAGGUAUCAGGAAGCUUUCUGCCUUGAACCACGCUGCUUGGAAAUGCUGGGAAAUCUCAUGUUAGUCCUUAACUCAGUCUGUUGUGUGUGGUUUUCUCCUCUCCAGCAGCAGCAUGAGUUAAGGAGGAGGCAUUAGCCCUCGCUGCGAUACCCCCACUGUCAGUUCAAGUCAGACUCUUCACGUUAUUUAUAUGUUCCCUUUUGUAAGUGUAUCGAUUAUACAAGUGAGUUCUCAAGUGCUCAGGCACUCGAUACAGCCACACAAAGGAGGAAAAUGUCCAGGUUAGCAUGGAAUUACACGUGUGCUGAGCAUGCCAGGGGACAGGAAUAAAUAGUGACAUGUACAAUUCAAAGCUACAUCUUAAGAGCUUUCUGUUUUAUUGCAGAGUGAUUAAAAAUAAAACCUGCAUUUCAAUUUCCAAAGUCCAGAAACUAAAGUUUGUCAGAAUUAUUCUUAGCCAUGGCAGAAUUGCCAUCUUCAGGCCACUUCCGCACACACCAGGUUAUUCCACAAUAAUCCAAAAUCCAGCGCAAGCUCCUCCCUCCCCUCUGUUCGUUUUACCCUUUGCAUUAUGAAUGCUGUGGGUAAGGGCUGCCUGUUUCACAGGGGGCUUGGUAUCACAGAAAGCUGGUUGUUGAUCUCUGGAUGCCUGCAGGCCAGCAAUCUGUGCUACAAGUUACCCCUCUUAAAAAAAAAAAAAAUCACCAAAAAAAAAAGACAAGUGGAUAAAACUGAUACAAGCAUCUGUAACAAGCUAAUUGGACCCUUGUGGGCAACAUAGCAGAUACCAAAUUAAAACAAACAAAACAUCUCGUUGUACAACUGUACUUCCAGGACCACUAUCACAAAGAGAUCCGUCUGGAUUUUUAUUUUAGUUUUGUUUUGUUUAAAAGGACCUAAUUAUGGCCAGAGCUGGAGUAUCACAAGUCUGUUUUCAUCUAUAAAGAAAGGAUAUUUUGCCUCUGAACCUGAGAAAUUGUUAGAAGUUGGUAAUUAGUAUGACUUGUUAAUAGAGUUUGGCUGUGAUUAAGCUGUGAUUGAGUGUGAGUUUGGUUCUUGUCAAUGCGAAUGCCUGUAAGGUUGAGAGAUGUUUAAUGAGACACCUGUUGUCAGCAGCACCCGGUGGGCUUUGUUGCGCCUGAUUGGAAUUUGUACGGCGGAGCAGGAGCCGUCGGAACAGCAGCAGGAACAGCCCCGGCUGGCGGCUCAGCAGCAGCGGGAAAGGGCCUGAGCCAAACGGAGGGUCAGACCCACCAGGGUCAGAGUAGGAUUUCAGGUGCAGAGCUGCAUCUCCUGUAUCUGCUCCCUGGCACUAUCAGCACCUCCAAACACACUGAGUGACUUCAGUCUGCUCCAUAUGCAGGCAGACUCCUGGAAAAACCUUUCAUUUUCUUACGGACUCAUUGACUGAGGUUUCCUGACUCAAAUCCCUCUACAAGACCCUGCAGAAAUGACAUCAAAACAUCACCAUUUUGAGGCCACAUGCUUUUCCUGCCCACUGAUGUCCUUUGAGUUUGAAUUGCAGCGUUUAGCUUUGACUGUGAGGCAAAGUUGGCAGUUUCCUGACUAACCCAAAGUGAGGUCAGAAAGAAGAAUGAAAACCAGAAAGGCGCCCCAGAAUGUCUGAGCAGAAGACAAUCAGAUUUCUGUGUCAAAAAGAGGGCAAAACUAAGGAUGUGGGACUUGCAUGAAAAAUCUUGUAGACAGUUAUUUUUUUCUUCUUCCUUUCUCUCACAGUGGGACAAAUUCCACUUUUAUUUCAGUUCAUCUGUAAAACAUGAGGAGCCAGCUGAGCAUAGCGUUGGUUCAGAAUGAGGGCAGCUGACAAGGGAAAGGUAAAAGGAACUUGUAACUGCUGCCGUUUUCUCCAAGAAAUUAUUGCCACGUGAAAAAAAGCCCUCAAACUAACUUCCAAAGGAUAGAGGAAGGCACUAGGACAUCAUCUAACAUUCCCUGACAUAGCAGACUCCAAGGUAUAAUUAUUAAUGCAUUGGCCAUUUAAAUAUAGGCCAUCACCUCCUGUUGUCUCAGGUUUUCUUGUCAUCAUCUGGUGCUUGCUUAGGAUAGGAUGCAAAUAGGGAGGAGGCAGCUCUAAGGGUCUGGGAGCAGAGUUAAUGGUCAGAACUUGGGUGCAGGUGGAAGAGCAGGACAUGAAAGAGCACCUUGGCUAGAAAAAGGUUGGAACAAACUGCUUUAGCUCACACAUAAGAUGUCUCGGGUAUUUUCCAGGCCAGUUCUAGCUCCCAUAGUUCUUUAUAAUACUAUAGAACUAUAUAAAGUUCUAUAUAGUUGGACACCACUCUUUGUUACUUCAAUUCCUAAAGAGUAAAGGCUGCAUUUCAUACCCAACAUACUUUCCAAAUGCUCCUUCAUCUUCAAAGACUUUGGAAAUUAAUCACCAAUGCAAGUUGUAAAAAACUAUUCAUCAACAGCAUGUGUCACUUCCCAAGGAGCACAGAGAGGUACGAUGGCACAAGGCAUU
Pipra filicauda (Wire-tailed manakin) is the source of this 2897-nucleotide long non-coding RNA. RefSeq lists it as uncharacterized. The record is from RefSeq and is a predicted model, not a curated record. The transcript has 3 exons. Lineage: Eukaryota; Metazoa; Chordata; Aves; Passeriformes; Pipridae.